This 253-nucleotide ribosomal RNA is filed under the name uncultured bacterium. Its description in RNAcentral is "partial 16S ribosomal RNA". It matches the Rfam family "Bacterial small subunit ribosomal RNA", at positions 524 to 776 of the family's 1533-position model. The record is from RNAcentral.
UACGAAGGGGGCUAGCGUUGCUCGGAAUCACUGGGCGUAAAGCGCACGUAGGCGGAUACUUAAGUUAGGGGUGAAAUCCCAGAGCUCAACUCUGGAACUGCCUUUAAUACUGGGUAUCUCGAGUCCGGAAGAGGUGAGUGGAAUUCCGAGUGUAGAGGUGAAAUUCGUAGAUAUUCGGAGGAACACCAGUGGCGAAGGCGGCUCACUGGUCCGGUACUGACGCUCAGGCACGAAAGCGUGGGGAGCAAACAGG